AAUCCCUCCGCCACCCCGACGCAUAACCUUUAUUUAAUUAUAAGUAAAUGUGAACUCGUGAAAUGACUUACAUUUCAGUUUAAAUUUCAUUGUAUGACUUCAGACGACUUGGAAUAUAGUGCAAAAGCUGUAUGGACCACUGAUGGUUCCCUAACUAGAUUAACCAGAAUGAUGUUCUUGUUGUCAAUAACCUUCAACCGUUAAUUCUGGUGGAAUAGCAUAUCUGUGCUGGUGCACAAGCUAGACCAGCAUAAGCUUGGACCAUCAUGGAAACUCAUUUUCAGCAAGACCCGGCAUCUUCAUUUGCUGUGCCACAUCUUGAUGUUUGUUUUUAAGCUACAGUACAACUUACAGUCCUCAAAUAACACUGGACCAACACAAACAGGAACAAAAACCAAGGUCGUUUCUUCCACCACUUUGAGCCUGCUGUCUAUAACCAAUUAAAGGCACACAAACUAUAACAUUAACGAGUUUUUGUGCUCUUUGCAUCUUUAAAAAGGUUAGGCAUUAAUAAUAAAUAAGUUGGACUUCAGGCUUUAUCGGCAGACGUCGUCCUUGACUAGCGCUUUUGAUUGUAAUCAUUCACCUGCCCUUCACUGAAACUUCAGAAAAAUCACCCAUGAUAUAAUAGAUGCGGUGCUAAAGGGCACUGCUUGCAAAUGGAUCAAAAAAAGGGGAGUAGCAACCAUUUUAACCUGGGGGACAUGUCACCCCUCCCAUUUUUGGAUAGAAUCUUUAUAUUGAGAAAGAAGAAAAAAAACGUACAUAUCAAAUCAAAGCCUUUGUUGCAAAAAUCGGUUAAAACAAUACACAAUUUCAACUUAUGUCAUAAAUGUUUCAAAAUGUGUGGAUGGUGCUUAAAUUACAUUAUUACAGAACAUAUUACUAUAUAUUUACUUCAGAUUUCAAAU
Molecule: long non-coding RNA, 911 nt
Organism: Cyprinus carpio (common carp)
Lineage: Eukaryota; Metazoa; Chordata; Actinopteri; Cypriniformes; Cyprinidae
Exons: 3
Source: RefSeq, a predicted model, not a curated record